Molecule: ribosomal RNA, 255 nt
Filed under: uncultured bacterium
Lineage: Bacteria
Description: partial 16S ribosomal RNA
Rfam family: Bacterial small subunit ribosomal RNA
Source: RNAcentral
GUCCACGCCGUAAACGAUGGAUACUAGCUGUUUGGAGCAAUCUGAGUGGCUAAGCGAAAGUGAUAAGUAUCCCACCUGGGGAGUACGAACGCAAGUUUGAAACUCAAAGGAAUUGACGGGGGCCCGCACAAGCGGUGGAGCAUGUGGUUUAAUUCGAUGAUACGCGAGGAACCUUACCAAGGCUUAAAUGUAGAUUGACAGGUUUGGAAACAGACUUUUCUUCGGACAAUUUACAAGGUGCUGCAUGGUUGUCGU